Molecule: non-coding RNA, 222 nt
Filed under: Bradyrhizobium sp. Rc2d
Lineage: Bacteria; Pseudomonadati; Pseudomonadota; Alphaproteobacteria; Hyphomicrobiales; Nitrobacteraceae
Source: RNAcentral
AAAGUUCGAUACAGGAAAGGAGUAGCGACCCACCUUGGCCCCGAGUCAUACGGAGGCGUUCGUGAGGACGACUUCGAAGCGUUGACAGGGGAAACCGCAGGCCAGCCAUUGAGCCGCGAAAUCGGAAGUCUGGAGCGCCGAUGCUGUUAUCCUAAGCGGAAGGCAACCUGUUGGGCGGCAUAUAUCGGGAGCCGCUCAACGGCUCCACGCGGUCGGAGACCC